AUCGAUGAAGAACGCAGCGAAAUGCGAUAAGUAAUGUGAAUUGCAGAAUUCAGUGAAUCAUCGAAUCUUUGAACGCACAUUGCGCCCCUUGGUAUUCCGGGGGGCAUGCCUGUUCGAGCGUCAUUUUAACCCUCAAGCUCAGCUUGGUAUUGGGGCUUGCCUCCGGGCAGCUCUUAAAAUCAGUGGCGGCGCCAUCUGGCUCUAAGCGUAGUAAUUCUUCUCGCUAUAGGGUCCCGGUGGACGCCCGCCAGAACCCCCAAUUUUUCUAUGGUUGACCUCGGAUCAGGUAGGGAUACCCGCUGAACUUAAGCAUAUCAAUAAGCGGAGGAAAAGAAACCAACAGGGAUUACCUUAGUAACGGCGAGUGAAGCGGUAACAGCUCAAAUUUGAAAUCUGGCUCUUUCAGGGUCCGAGUUGUAAUUUGUAGAAGAUGCUUCGGGUGUGGCUCCGGUCUAAGUUCCUUGGAACAGGACGUCAUAGAGGGUGAGAAUCCCGUAUGUGACUGGUUGCCUUCGCCCAUGUGAAGCUCUUUCGACGAGUCGAGUUGUUUGGGAAUGCAGCUCAAAAUGGGUGGUAAAUUUCAUCUAAAGCUAAAUAUUGGCCAGAGACCGAUAGCGCACAAGUAGAGUGAUCGAAAGAUGAAAAGCACUUUGGAAAGAGAGUUAAACAGUACGUGAAAUUGUUGAUAGGGAAGCGCUUGCAACCAGACUUGCACGCGGUUGAUCAUCCGGUGUUCUCACCGGUGCACUCUGCCGUGUUCAGGCCAGCAUCGGUUUCGGUGGUUGGAUAAAGGCCUUGGGAAUGUAGCUUCUUUCGGGGAGUGUUAUAGCCCUCGGUGCAAUGCAGCCUACCGGGACCGAGGACCGCGCUUCGGCUAGGAAGCUGGCGUAAUGGUUGUAAGCGACCCGUCUU
This 912-nucleotide ribosomal RNA is filed under the name uncultured Ascomycota. RNAcentral's name for it is "eukaryotic LSU rRNA". The stretch from base 273 to 912 matches the Rfam family "Eukaryotic large subunit ribosomal RNA", at positions 1 to 655 of the family's 3401-position model. The record is from RNAcentral. Lineage: Eukaryota; Fungi; Ascomycota.